RNAcentral lists this transfer RNA (58 nucleotides) under Onomarchus uninotatus. Its description in RNAcentral is "tRNA-Ser". The record is from RNAcentral. Lineage: Eukaryota; Metazoa; Arthropoda; Insecta; Orthoptera; Tettigoniidae.
AGCUAAUAAACUUUAAAAGUAUAUGUUUUGAAAACAUAAAAUAGAAGUUAAAAUCUUC